This 125-nucleotide ribosomal RNA is filed under the name Aeromonas veronii. RNAcentral describes it as "partial 16S ribosomal RNA". It matches the Rfam family "Bacterial small subunit ribosomal RNA", at positions 1415 to 1533 of the family's 1533-position model. Lineage: Bacteria; Pseudomonadati; Pseudomonadota; Gammaproteobacteria; Aeromonadales; Aeromonadaceae. The record is from RNAcentral.
UUGCACCAGAAGUAGAUAGCUUAACCUUCGGGAGGGCGUUUACCACGGUGUGAUUCAUGACUGGGGUGAAGUCGUAACAAGGUAACCCUAGGGGAACCUGGGGUUGGAUCACCUCCUUACCUUAA